UUGUAAAGCUUGCUUGCGUGAUACUUCAAAAAAAGUUAGUUCUUCCACCUUGCAAUAAUGAUUCAUCUGUAUUUUCAUCAUAUGCUCGAACUAUGCGUGCACUUGGCACAUUAUUUGUUUUUUUGCCUUGUUUUGGUUAUACUUGCAGUGCCUGGAGAAACUGAAAAGCCUGGUUGUCAGUGAUGAUAGGAAAGUACUGUAUUCUAAGUACUUGCUCCAAGCACUUCUCCCAUACCUGA
This 239-nucleotide unclassified non-coding RNA is filed under the name Hevea brasiliensis (rubber tree). The record is from RNAcentral. Lineage: Eukaryota; Viridiplantae; Streptophyta; Magnoliopsida; Malpighiales; Euphorbiaceae.